This 427-nucleotide ribosomal RNA is filed under the name uncultured bacterium. RNAcentral describes it as "bacterial SSU rRNA". It matches the Rfam family "Bacterial small subunit ribosomal RNA", at positions 355 to 775 of the family's 1533-position model. The record is from RNAcentral.
UCGAGAAUUUUUCUCAAUGGGCGAAAGCCUGAAGGAGCGACGCCGCGUGGGGGAUGAAGGGCUUCGGUCCGUAAACCCCUGUCAUUUGCGAACAAACCUUACUCAUGAAUAGUGAGUGAGCUGAUUGUAGCGAAAGAGGAAGGGACGGCUAACUCUGUGCCAGCAGCCGCGGUAAUACAGAGGUCCCAAGCGUUGUUCGGAUUCACUGGGCGUAAAGGGUGCGUAGGUGGCGGGGUAAGUUUGAUGUGAAAUCUCCGGGCUUAACCCGGAAACUGCAUUGAAUACUAUUCUGCUGGAGGUUUGGAGGGGGGACUGGAAUUCUCGGUGUAGCAGUGAAAUGCGUAGAUAUCGAGAGGAACACCAGUGGCGAAGGCGAGUCCCUGGACAACACCUGACACUGAGGCACGAAAGCUAGGGGAGCAAACAG